RNAcentral lists this long non-coding RNA (3267 nucleotides) under Salmo salar (Atlantic salmon). RNAcentral's name for it is "lncRNA (ENSSSAG00000102991.1, ENSSSAG00000118481.1)". Lineage: Eukaryota; Metazoa; Chordata; Actinopteri; Salmoniformes; Salmonidae. The record is from RNAcentral.
GGCAGCAACAGAUGGCGGAAGCCUAUGACAUCGCCAUUAGAAAUAUGGAGAAAUCAACAGCAAGGGAAAAGCCUACUACGAUCAGAAGAAAAUGAGUUUGGUUCUGGUCUCAGGGGAUCGUGUACUGGUGAGGAACAUGUCAGAACGUGGGGGGCCAGGAAAGCUAAGAUCACACUGGAAGGACCAAAUACACGUGGUGGUAAGCAGGAAAGGUGAUGACAACCCUGUCUAUGAGGUCCAUGCGCAAAACGCUACCACACAGUCCCUUGCUACGAAUGUGACCAAAGCUGACUUGACGAAUUCCACGAUGUUCAACGUCACUACCACGAACGUCACUACCACGAACGUCACUACCACGAACGUCACUACCACGAACAUCUCCACCACGAACCACUCCACUCCUCAAGGAGCCAGUGUGUCCUUGCAGUCCAGUGCAUUCACACUCCUCAUCCCUGUGGUGGGCUCGCUCCUACAGGGCUGCUUCUAGAGUGUUCAUCUGCACUGAACAAACGCCAAGACUAACAUCUGCAGCCUAGAUGUGCAAAUGUUUUACAAAGAGCACAUUAUUAAUUCUCGGAAUGUAGCCAUUUGCGCACCUAAGCUGUGGGAUUCGGUGGCACGGGCAAGAACACUUGUUUUUUCAUUGAUGGGAUUCUUGUUUGUGCUCGCACCUCCUGGCUGCUUCAAACCGUAGGCCUACACUCUGUGCUCACUGGCCCCAAGCCCAUGGCGUGGCAACAAGCUGUCUCACUGCAGAAUGGGACAUUUGUCCAUAUACCUUUGCGGUUGUUUAGGCAUUAAUUCACAAAUGGUUAAGGUUUGGGAUAGGGUUAAGACAUUUAAAGUGCCUAGCACUGGGAUUGAACACAUGACUAAUUAAUGGUAAUAGUGCUCACCAUUGCCCCUAGUGGCCAAUUUCGAAGUAAUCUCCUGACAUCCUGCUUACCUGGAAAGAUGUCUAAUUUAGCAGUGGUUCUUCAGUGACCUGGCUGUUGCCUCCAUGGAGGCAGGCCAUAAUGAGGAUCUAUUAAACUCUAUUCUUUGACUCAAUUAUGGUGUAAUUGCAGACCGCAAUUCAUGGAGUUUCUAGAUAUCAGGAAAAGCACAUUGGUGCCUGCUUUUCCUGAUAAAGAAACACCCUGAAUUUGUCAGUUCCGGUGUUGAGACUGAUGGUUUCUCGACAUUUGUUUACAUGGCAGGUAAGGAUAAUUAACGUGGCUGGUUAGGUGACUUGGUGUGCCAGGUUAGGAGAAUGAGGUAAAGGGUUAGCUUUAGAUAGUGUUGUCCCCAACGUUAACUACAUGGCCACAGACCAGUGGUGAGCAUCAAUGGGUGUAACUUGAUUUCAAGAAACGCACAUCUGAAACACCCCUACUCCUUUCAUUCACUUGGUCCCACUGUUCCUGAUUUCAGACAGCAGUUUAACUUGUGUACAUUUUGGCUGUGCCUGGAGUAAUCAACUGAAUAACUGAUGUUUGAGGUGCGUUGUGGAAAAUAACAGCCUGUCUGAUCUGUGGCACUUAUGUCCUUAACAGUGCUAUUUUUACUCCUGCAACUGCAAUGGAUACUAUGUCAGAGGCUUGAUGAAGCCUACACUUGUGAUGAACUUAUUGAAUUUUAUAUUGUAAACAUGUGACUUAUGUAAGUCAGUGAUGCUUUUAGAUCUCGUAUGUCAGGUUCAAUAAAGCUUUGAAAUGUACUUGUCAUGAGAUUUAAUGUCCUUGUACAAUAAAAUGUGACAUUUAAUAUAACUGACUUAUCCUGUCAAUUCCAAAGCUUGGCAUGUCAACUCAUUGGCUUUUCCAUCUGUCUUACAAGUCCAAUGCAGCAGGUCUUUCUCAAUCAAAUUACUGGUUAACAAUUGUGUGCCUUACAGAGAUUUUUCUAUAAAAAUGGUCAAACUAUUGGCUGCUUAGCAAAGGGCAAGAAUUUUGCUAGAACUGGUGGGGAAAAUUCUGUUUAAUGGCAAAUGUUUGGAACUUAUUAGUCUAACCAAUUUAGUGGGACUUCACCAUGGGAAUCCAUGCUGUCUACCACAACGGGCUGCCUUUUCAAAUGGCGCUUAUUCCAACUUCUGUGGCAAGGCAUAACACAGUAAUCCAAUUUAACUGCCUGGGCCUUUUUUAAGCCCCUAUUGAUUACAUGCAGUGCAUUUGGAAAGUAUUCAGACCCCUUAAAAAAGUUAGACUUUAUAAAAUACAUUGAGGAUAAUCUACACUUGGUUGACUGUCCACAAAGUGAAAACAGGUUUAGACAUUUUUCUGCAACAAAAGAAAUCCCUUGAAGUAUUUGAAAUUGUGCUCAGGUGCAUCCUGUUUCCAUUGAUUUGUUUCUACAACUUGGAGUUCACCUGUGGUAUAUUCAAUUGAUUGGACAUUAUUUGGAAAAGGCACACAAGGUCCCACAGUUGACAGCAUAUCAGAGCAAAAACCAAGCCAUGAGGUUAAAGGAAUUGUCUGUAGAGCUUUGAGAAAGGAUUGUGUCUAGGCACAGAUCUGGGCAAAGCUACCAAAACAUUUCUGCAGCAUUGUAGUCCCACAGUGGCCUCCAUUAAAUGAUAGUUUGGAACCAAGACUCUUCCUAGAGCUAGCCGCCCGGCCAAACUGAGAAACCUGGGGGAAAAGGGCCUUGGUCAGGGAGGUGACCAAGAACCCGACGGUCACUCUGACAGCUCCAGCAUUCCUCUGUGGAGAUGGGAGAUUCUUCCAAAAGGACAACCAUCUCUGCAGUGCUUCACCAAUCAGGCCUUUUAUGAUAGGGGCCAGACAGAAGCCACUCAGUAAACAGCACAUGACAGUCCUCUUGGAGUUUGCCUAAAGGCACCUAAAGACACAGACCAUGAGAAACAAGAUUCUGUGGUCUGAUGAAACCAAGAUUGAAUGUUAAGUGUCACGUCUGGAGGAACACUGGCACCAUCCAUAUAGUGAAGCAUGGUGGUGGCAGCGUCAUGCUGUGGGGAUGUUUUUCAGCAGCACGGACUGGGAGACUAGUCAGGAUUGAGGGAAAGAUGAACGAAGCAAAGUACAGAGAGAUCCUUGAUGAAAACCUGCUUAGGACCUCAGACUGGGUCGAAGGUUCACCUUCAAUAGUUCAAUGACCCUAAGCACACAACCAAGACAACGCAGGAGUGGCUUCGGGACAAGUCUCUUAAUGUCCUUGAGUGGCCCUGCCUGAGCCCGGACUUGAAUCCGACCGAACAUCUCUGGAGAGACCUGAAAAUAGCUGUGCAGCGACGCUCUCCAUCCAACCUGACAGAGCUUGAGACGA